This 1491-nucleotide ribosomal RNA is filed under the name metagenome. Its description in RNAcentral is "bacterial SSU rRNA". It matches the Rfam family "Bacterial small subunit ribosomal RNA". The record is from RNAcentral.
AGAGUUUGAUCCUGGCUCAGGAUGAACGCUAGCGGUAGGCUUAACACAUGCAAGUCGAGGGGUAACAGGGUUUUCGGAUCGCUGACGACCGGCGCACGGGUGAGUAACGCGUAUGCAACCUACCCAUUGCUGGAGCAUAGGCCGAAGAAAUUCGGAUUAAUACUCCAUAAUGUCAUCAGAUCACAUGCUUUGAUGAUUAAAGUUCCGACGGCAAUGGAUGGGCAUGCGUGACAUUAGUUUGUUGGUGAGGUAACGGCUCACCAAGACUGCGAUGUCUAGGGGGUCUUAAAGGAUGAUCCCCCACACUGGUACUGAGACACGGACCAGACUCCUACGGGAGGCAGCAGUGAGGAAUAUUGGUCAAUGGGCGAGAGCCUGAACCAGCCAAUCCGCGUGCAGGAUGACGGCCCUAUGGGUUGUAAACUGCUUUUGUAUGAGAAGAACUCCCUGACGUGUCAGGGGCUGACGGUACCAUACGAAUAAGCAUCGGCUAACUCCGUGCCAGCAGCCGCGGUAAUACGGAGGAUGCAAGCGUUAUCCGGAUUUAUUAGGUUUAAAGGGUGCGUAGGCUGAAUAGUCAGUCAGUGGUGAAAUCCUACGGCUUAACCGUAGAACUGCCAUUGAUACUGCUAUUCUUGAGUACAGUUGAGGUAGGCGGAAUGUGUAGUGUAGCGGUGAAAUGCUUAGAUAUUACACAGAACACCGAUUGCGAAGGCAGCUUACUAAACUGUCACUGACGCUGAGGCACGAAAGCGUGGGGAGCGAACAGGAUUAGAUACCCUGGUAGUCCACGCCGUAAACGAUGAUCACUCGUUGUAUGCCUUUUUUGGUAUGCGACUGAGCGAAAGCAUUAAGUGAUCCACCUGGGGAGUACGUCGGCAACGAUGAAACUCAAAGGAAUUGACGGGGGCCCGCACAAGCGGUGGAACAUGUGGUUUAAUUCGAUGAUACGCGAGGAACCUUACCUGGGCUUAAAUGUAGAACGACUUUCGCCGAAAGGCGAUUUUCCUUCGGGACGAUCUACAAGGUGCUGCAUGGUUGUCGUCAGCUCGUGCCGUGAGGUGUCGGGUUAAGUCCCAUAACGAGCGCAACCCCUAUUGUUAGUUACCAGCGGAUUAUGCCGGGGACUCUAACAAGACUGCCACCGUAAGGUGAGAGGAAGGUGGGGAUGACGUCAAAUCAGCACGGCCCUUAUGUCCAGGGCUACACACGUGUUACAAUGGCCGGCACAGAGGGCAGCUACCUGGUGACAGGAUGCAAAUCUCAUAAAACCGGUCUCAGUUCGGAUCGGAGUCUGCAACUCGACUCCGUGAAGUUGGAAUCGCUAGUAAUCGCGUAUCAGCAACGACGCGGUGAAUACGUUCCCGGGCCUUGUACACACCGCCCGUCACACCAUGAGAGUUGGUUGUACCAGAAGUUGUUGGGCUAACCCGCAAGGGAGGCAGGCACCUAAGGUAUGGCUGAUGAUUGGGGUGAAGUCGUAACAAGGUA